GACGAACGCUGGCGGCGUGCUUAACACAUGCAAGUCGAACGGAAAGACCCUGCUUUUGUGGGGUGCUCGAGUGGCGAACGGGUGAGUAACACGUGAGUAACCUGCCCUUGACUUUGGGAUAACUUCAGGAAACUGGGGCUAAUACCGGAUAGGAGCUCCUGCUGCAUGGUGGGGGUUGGAAAGUUUCGGCGGUUGGGGAUGGACUCGCGGCUUAUCAGCUUGUUGGUGGGGUAGUGGCUUACCAAGGCUUUGACGGGUAGCCGGCCUGAGAGGGUGACCGGCCACAUUGGGACUGAGAUACGGCCCAGAGUCCUACGGUAGGCAGCAGUGGGGAAUAUUGCACAAUGGGCGGAAGCCUGAUGCAGCAACGCCGCGUGCGGGAUGACGGCCUUCGGGUGGUAAACCGCUUUCGCCUGUGACGAAGCGUGAGUGACGGUAAUGGGUAAAGAAGCACCGGCUAACUACGUG
RNAcentral lists this ribosomal RNA (468 nucleotides) under uncultured bacterium. RNAcentral describes it as "partial 16S ribosomal RNA". It matches the Rfam family "Bacterial small subunit ribosomal RNA", at positions 28 to 507 of the family's 1533-position model. The record is from RNAcentral.